AUUUAACGCUGGCGUCAUGCCUUACACAUGCAAGUCUAACGGCAGCACGGGUGCUUGCACCUGGUGUCGAGUGGCGAACGGGUGAGUAAUACAUCGGAACGUACCUUAUCGUGGGGGAUAACACAUUGAAAAAUUUUCUAAUACCGCAUAAUACUCUGCGGAGCAAAGAGGGGGAUUCGUAAGACCCCCGUGCCAUUCGAGCGGCCGAUGGCUGAUUACGUAGUUGGUGAGGUAAAGGCCCACCAAGGCACCGAGCAGGAGCAGGUGUGAGAGGAUGAACUGCCACAGUGGAACUGAGAAACGGUCCAGACUCCUACGGGAGGCAGCAGUGGGGAAUUUUGGACAAUGGGGGCAACCCUGAUACAGCAAUGCCGCGUGAGUGAGGAAGGCCUUCGGGUUGUAAAGCUCUUUUGUCAGUGAAGAAAACUUUAAUAAUAACACUAUUAAAGCAUGACGGUAACUGAAGAAUGAGGACCGGCUAACUACGUGCCAGCCGCCGCAGUAA
Molecule: ribosomal RNA, 505 nt
Filed under: uncultured bacterium
Lineage: Bacteria
Description: partial 16S ribosomal RNA
Rfam family: Bacterial small subunit ribosomal RNA
Source: RNAcentral